AUAACAUUGUCAGCAGCUGAGCUUCUUCUGCUCUCAGUGUGUUGAAGUGUUGUUUCUCUCUCUCUGCUGGAGUUUGUGUUCACUCGAGUGGAAUAGAGGUUUUUGUACGAGUGUUUCAUUAGAUUGUAUCACUGUGGUACACAUUCGGUGGAGGAACUAAACUGGUGCUCGCUGGUCCCACAGUGAAGCCCUCAGUGUCUCUGCUGCCGCCCUCUUCUCUGCAGAUCUCUGGAGACUCAGCCGCACUGCUCUGCCUGCUCAGCUCUUACUCUCCACAGGGGGCGCUGGUGAGCUGGACACUGGGACGGCUCAGAGGUCACCGAGGGGGUUGUGACCAGCGCAGAGAGCGAGCAGGACGGCCGCUACAGCCGCAGUAGUGUCCCUGACCCUCAGCAAAGCACGCUGGGAAGAGGGAGAGCUGUACGUCUGCAGAGUAACCACAUGAUGGAGCUCCUCAUGAGGCCUCGUUCCACAAGAGUCGCUGUUAGUUGCUCGCACUGCUGAUGUUUCUCCAGUGAGCGCUGCUCUCUCCUGAAGAUGAGUGUAUCUGAGUGUCCUGUGUCAGCAGGAUUCACAUGAGUCUAGUGCUGCAGCUGUAGUCAUUUACAACUCAAUACUGAAAGAGAGCUCUAGUGUCAAAGCACUGGCUGAUCUUUCAAUCUGCUGUGUUUGCUGCAACAUUCAAUAAAAGCUUCUCAACAAAC
This is a long non-coding RNA of Cyprinus carpio (common carp), 704 nucleotides long. RefSeq lists it as uncharacterized. NCBI's taxonomy places the organism in Eukaryota, Metazoa, Chordata, Actinopteri, Cypriniformes, Cyprinidae. The record is from RefSeq and is a predicted model, not a curated record.